RNAcentral lists this ribosomal RNA (161 nucleotides) under Olea europaea subsp. europaea. RNAcentral describes it as "SSU_rRNA_eukarya". It matches the Rfam family "Eukaryotic small subunit ribosomal RNA", at positions 1667 to 1823 of the family's 1831-position model. The record is from RNAcentral. Lineage: Eukaryota; Viridiplantae; Streptophyta; Magnoliopsida; Lamiales; Oleaceae.
CAAUGUCCAUCGCUCCUACUUAUUGAAUGUUCUAGUGAAGUGUUCAUAUCGCAUCGAUGUGGGUGGUGUGCUACCCUCGACGUCAUGAGAAGUCCACUAAACCUUAUCAUUUAGAGAAAGUAAAAGUCGUAACAAGGUUUUCGUAGGUGAAUCUAUGGAAG